Molecule: ribosomal RNA, 252 nt
Filed under: uncultured bacterium
Lineage: Bacteria
Description: partial 16S ribosomal RNA
Rfam family: Bacterial small subunit ribosomal RNA
Source: RNAcentral
UACGUAGGGUGCGAGCGUUGUUCGGAUUCAUUGGGCGUAAAGGGUGUGUAGGUGGCGCCGUAAGUCGGGUGUGAAAUCUCGGGGCUUAACUCCGAAACUGCAUUCGAUACUGCGGUGCUUGAGGACUGGAGAGGAGACUGGAAUUUACGGUGUAGCAGUGAAAUGCGUAGAUAUCGUAAGGAAGACCAGUGGCGAAGGCGGGUCUCUGGACAGUUCCUGACACUGAGACACGAAGGCCAGGGGAGCAAACGG